UGGUGCCCACUGUCUCCAAUAGAGCACACUGGCUGGCUAGGGGGGCCAAGGCUCAGGGUGACAAAACACUGUGACAGGCAAAACAUUGUGACAGCAUUAGAGGACCUGGAUUGGAAUCAGACUCAGACCUGCUGUUAGCGAAUCACAUCACCUCUCAGAACAUUAGGCUCCUCAUCCAUAAGAUGGAGCCGAUGUCUGCUCCGCCCGUGAUGUUGGAGCUACCAUUUAGCAUUGAGCUUUCACAUACAGCCCUCCUCUGCUCUUCAUCCUAGGAGGAAGGGAUCCAUCUCCACAGGGUCCGUCACAGAUUCGCCAGAGUGACCAGUUUCUCUUAAUGGAUAGCCACCUCCCCCGAUACGAGGAAAAAAAAGGCCAGGAACCAGGAUGGGAGAAGAGAGGGCAAAGAGGCUCCCUGCCUCAGCAAAAUGAUAGCGGUCCAUCACAACACCCCUGGCAGAGCACUUCCAAACCAACGAAACCAACGAUCCUACCCAAUGCACACCCCAGCUUGUGAGCGAAGAAGAGCAGGUUCUGUGGUUGCCACUUUACAGGUGGGAAAAUUGAGGCCCAGGAAGGUUCAGUGCCUGCCUACGGCUACAACUUGGAUGGUUAGUAUUUAAGCUGAGACUGAACCCAGUCUCCUCUGCCUCUGGGCCUGGUGCUCUUUGCGUGAAGCACUCUACCUAUGGAAUGGUGGCAGAGAGGGUCUCCCUGGGCCCUUCAUCAUGCCUCACUCCUGGGGCCUACUGGGCUGCUUCUCCAGCCCAUCUCCACCAUUCUCACCUCUGUGGACCAUGUGGGAUUACUUCUGCUGCCAUGAUGCUAGCAACACCUCCUGAGGUAGCUCCCCUGCACAUGUGAUUGAGGCAGCAGACUCAGGCCGAGAGAAAGCCGUCAGGACCAACAGGAACCCAGGCAGCAGGCCAGACCGGGCCUGGCUCGUGCCCACAGCACUCUCCAUCUCAGAAAUCUCAGACCUCUUAGCUUGGCCAGUGCUGAUUUCUCUGUUAUCUGCAAGAUCUUGUAUUCUCUCUCUUUCUCUUUUUUUUUUUUUUUUUUUUUUGAGACAGGCUCUCAUUCUGUCACCCAGCCUGGAAUGCAGUGGCACUCAUGGCCCACCGUAGCCUCAACCUCCCAGGCUCAGGCGAUCCUCCUGCCUCACUUUCUCAAGUAGCUGGGACCACAGGAUCACACCACCACAUCUGGCUAAUUUUUAAAAUUAUUUUUAGAGACAGGGACUCCCUAUGUUGCCCAAGUGGUCUCAAACUCCUGGGUUCAGGCAAUCCUCCCAGCUUGGCCUCCGAAAGUAUUGGUAUUACAGGCAUGAGCCACCAUGCCUGGCCAAGAUCUUAUAUUCUGUCUUGCCCUCAGCCUAGAAACUCCCUGAAGGCAGUGGUGAAGGGAAGUAAAGUGAUGUUGAUACCAGCCUUGCAAGACUAAAUAAAAUUAAAUCUGCUACCAAAGAAGUCACGCAGUGCCACCCCUGACAUUGAGGAGAUGCCCAACAUGUAGGCCCCUCCCCCGCCCCUGACAUUGAGGAGAUGCCCAACAUGUAGGCACCCCUCCCCCACCAGACUGCAAGUCUUCCUUCCUUGAGAACUUCUAGUGCCAGGCAGCCCCUGGGCUCCCAGAGGAGCUGGAAGGAGGAAGGGAGGUGCCCAUCUGACAUUUCAGAGGCAGAUGCCCCGGGCACCAUACCCAGAGCAGUGGCAGAACACACUCUGACCUGAGUGCAGGGCUUUAUACACCUCCCAGCCCUGCCACAGCCACUUCACCAAGGCCGGGCUUGCCAAAUUCAGGCCUUGGCAGGCUUGUAAAGGAACUCCUCAGGCCACACUGUCCACCCCAACCGCAACAGAGACAGACAGACACACCUGCCACUAUCCAUCCAUCCUCCUCCCUCCCACCAAACAGCAGGAAAAGAGGAAUGAGCCCCUGAAACUGGAGAGAGAUGGUGGUUACACAUUGGUUCUCCCCACAGUCCUGUGAGGCAUAUAAUAUUAGUUCCACUUCACCGAGGUAGAAGCCCAGGCUCAGAGAGAACAGCCACGGGCACACAGCAAGCAGGUGGCAGAGCUGGGACUGGGAGACUGGCUCAGCCAGCCAGACUCCAAAGCCCAAGCUGUGUUGUGUCCCUCCAGGCUGCAUUCAGGAUUCUGUGCCUCUUAGCGCCCCUUCCCUUCUGUCAGCCCCUGCACACACCACUCACUGGAUCCUUACAGGCGGCCGGACCUGCCUCAGCAACCCUGAGAAGUCAGGCUGGGCUGCCAUUCCCAUUUACUAACAAGGGUGCAGGUCAGCAGGGAAGGUGGCCUCCAAGUGGGCACCAUGGCAGCCCAGGCCCAGAGUUCAGGCAUCCUGUUUCCCAGCCCCAAGUCUCCCCUGUGCUGGGCAGAUUGGGGGAUCACUUCACUCCACCUGGACUCAACACUCACUUUUCUCAUCCCCUGGCCAGUCUCUUCUUAACCUCUCUAGGCCUUGGAGUUGUGGAGAAUGAUAAAAGAAAGGGAUUUGACAUCAAGGCCACCUCUUAUACACAUUGGUUUAUAAGUCUGGUGGGGGGUGAGGGGCUCUCCUGUCCUUGAUUCUCCUCCUUUGAACAUUUUUUCUUCCCGCCUUGACUGUGGACUGAAUUCAAACUCCUGGGCACAUAAGGUAGGGAGCCAUGCCUUGGGGAUGGCGGGGAGGGAACCCACAGCAGUUGAAUUGCACGCUGGCACUGGGCUUGAACCGUUGAGGAUGAGGUGGCUCUGGGGCCUCUGCACAGGAGGUGAGUGUGAGUCGGUGUCUCUCCCACAGCUGAAGUCUGCACAGACAGGGAGGGGACAUUCUCCAGGCCCUACUCUUCCUGUCAGGGCACCCCCUCCACAGGCACACUCAGAGCCAACUCACCCCUGAACAAUGAAGCCAUUCUCCCUCCUGUUCCAAGAGCACUGCCUCACAGACAGCUCCGCCGUGGGGACUGGAAUGGCGCCCAUCCUAUAAACUGAGACCCGCAGAGACAGGUUAAGAAGAGACUGACCGGGAGACAAGGAAAGUGAGUGUUGAGUACAGGUGGAAGGAGGUAUGGCACUGUGCUUCCAAGCCAGGGAGGUGGCCUCGUGCUGUGUGCCUGGGUGUGGGCCAGGCCUGCUCAGGCCUCCUGCCACCGUGGCCGUUGGAAACGUGUCUGUCUCCACACUGACUGUGGAUCUAUGCCCUUGAGGACAGACUUAUGCCGUCAGAAAACACUUGUUGACUUGAACAUGUGAACUUCGUUCUACAUCAAGAAGGAUUAAUGGGUGGGGCACAAACAGGAAACAGAUUAGUUUGGCUCAGACUUUUGUCUGGACCAUGGAGAAUGAGGGACUGGGGGCAGGGGCUGCAUGGAAGUGAGCAAGCAGAAUUGAAGGAAAGGUCUGGAAGCCAAGAAUAUUAUUUUUUGACUUACAAAUAAAGAUUAAAAAGCUAUAACCCCCUGCACACACAUACAUACAGACACACAGGUGUGCAUAUGUGAAUACGCAUACCCCACUAAGAACCUGAAGCCACUGUGGUGGUGGAGGGGGGUGCUUCAUGCCUUCACACCUGACUGUGUCACCCAAAUUUCAUGUGUUGAAAACUUAAUCCCCAAAUUCUUAUGCUGAUGGCAUUUGGAGGUGGGAUCUUUGGGAGGUAAUUAGGAUUAGAUAAGGUCAUCAAGGUAGGGGUCACCCCAAUGGAACUGGUGGCUUUAUAAGAAGAGGACAAGAGAUCUGAGCUGGCAUGUUCUUGCCCUCUCACCAUGUGAUGCCCUCCACCGUGAUGCAGCAAGGAGGCCCUCAUCAGACCCCAGCACCGUGCUCUUGGACUUCCCAGCCUCCAGAACCAUGAGCCAAAUAAACUUUCUUUCUUUGUAAAUC
This is a long non-coding RNA of Pan troglodytes (chimpanzee), 3881 nucleotides long. RefSeq lists it as uncharacterized. NCBI's taxonomy places the organism in Eukaryota, Metazoa, Chordata, Mammalia, Primates, Hominidae. The transcript has 3 exons. The record is from RefSeq and is a predicted model, not a curated record.